UCUGCUAAGAGGAGGAAGGAAUGGGCAACGGUAGGUCAGCAUGCCCCGAAUUAUCCGGGCUACACGCGGGCUACAAUGGUCAGGACAAUGGGUAUCGACACCGAGAGGUGGAGGCAAUCUCCUAAACCUGUCCUUAGUUCGGAUUGUGGGCUGCAACUCGCCCACAUGAAGCUGGAAUCCGUAGUAAUCGCGUUUCAAAUAGCGCGGUGAAUAUGUCCCUGCUCCUU
This 227-nucleotide ribosomal RNA is filed under the name uncultured Methanolinea sp. RNAcentral's name for it is "partial 16S ribosomal RNA". It matches the Rfam family "Archaeal small subunit ribosomal RNA", at positions 1110 to 1338 of the family's 1478-position model. Lineage: Archaea; Methanobacteriati; Methanobacteriota; Methanomicrobia; Methanomicrobiales; Methanoregulaceae. The record is from RNAcentral.